CAACAGAUAUAAUAUACCAGUUCUUGUAUCUAUAUGGAUAACUGCGGUAAUUCUGGAGCCAAUACAUGUUGCAAGCCGGAGCCUUCGGGUUUCUGGUGCAGUUAUUGGAGCAAAACUAGUCUUGUACUGUAAUGCUAACUCUGGAUAAUUCUGCAUAUCGCAUGGUCUUGUACCGGCGAAGUUUCUGUCUAGUAUCUGCUUUAUCAACUAUCGUUGGUAGUUUAUUGGACUACCAUGGUGUUGACGGGUAACGGAGAAUCAGGGUUUGACUCCGGAGAGGGAGCCUUAGAAACGGCUACCAUGUCUAAGGAUAGCAGCAGGCGCGAAAAUUACCCAAUAUCAAAACGAUGAGGUAGUGACGAGAAAUAACGAGGUCGUUCUCUAUGAGAUCGACUAUUGGAAUGAGUACAAUCCAGAAAUUUUAACGAGUACCUACGAGAGGGCAAGUCUGGUGCCAGCAGCCGCGGUAAUUCCAGCUCUCGUAAUGUAUAGAAUUAUUGUUGCGAUUAAAAAGUUCGUAGUUGUAUUGAAACGCAGGCUCGGGUCCAUCUUCGUGAUGCGUACUCGGUGCUUGCAUUUUGCAUGUUUUUGCGUUGGCUUCGGUUGGCGUGAUGCAUGCAGGAUUACUUUGAACGGCUCAAGUGCUUAAAGCGAGUCUUAUGAUUGAAUACCGGUGCAUGGAAUAAUGGAAUAAGGUUGAGGCCGAGUUUUAUUGGUUUUGUCGGUUUGAACAAUGGUUAACAGGAACAGCCGGGGGCAUUCGUAUCGCUGCGCGAGAGGUGAAAUUCGUGGACCGUAGCGAGACGACCGAUAGCGAAAGCAUUUGCCAAGAGUGUUUUCAUUAAUCAAGAACGAAAG
This 858-nucleotide ribosomal RNA is filed under the name Sheraphelenchus sp. 1 GVDU-2019. Its description in RNAcentral is "SSU rRNA". It matches the Rfam family "Eukaryotic small subunit ribosomal RNA", at positions 104 to 989 of the family's 1831-position model. Lineage: Eukaryota; Metazoa; Nematoda; Chromadorea; Rhabditida; Aphelenchoididae. The record is from RNAcentral.